RNAcentral lists this microRNA precursor (58 nucleotides) under Macaca mulatta (Rhesus monkey). Its description in RNAcentral is "Mml-Mir-506-P1c5_pre stem-loop". Lineage: Eukaryota; Metazoa; Chordata; Mammalia; Primates; Cercopithecidae. The record is from RNAcentral.
UACUGCAGGCAGUGGCAAUUAUGUAUAGUUAAAAAUGAUUGGUAUGUCUGUGGGUAGA